Molecule: ribosomal RNA, 253 nt
Filed under: uncultured bacterium
Lineage: Bacteria
Description: partial 16S ribosomal RNA
Rfam family: Bacterial small subunit ribosomal RNA
Source: RNAcentral
UACAGAGGGGGCAAGCGUUGUUCGGAAUUACUGGGCGUAAAGGGCGCGUAGGCGGCCUUCUAAGUCGAACGUGAAAUCCCCGGGCUCAACCCGGGAACUGCGUCCGAUACUGGAAGGCUUGAAUCCGGGAGAGGGAUGUGGAAUUCCAGGUGUAGCGGUGAAAUGCGUAGAUAUCUGGAGGAACACCGGUGGCGAAGGCGGCAUCCUGGACCAACACUGACACUGAGGAGCGAAAGCCAGGGGAGCAAACAGG